Molecule: ribosomal RNA, 1349 nt
Filed under: metagenome
Description: bacterial LSU rRNA
Rfam family: Bacterial large subunit ribosomal RNA
Source: RNAcentral
UGAGUGCGAGCUUCUACGGAAGCGAAGUUGGUGACGUCAAGCUUCCAAGAAAAGCCCUAUACCCGUUAAGGCAUGAUUACCUGUACCCGAAACCGACACAGGUGGGGUGGUAGAGAAUACCGAGGGGCGCGAGGUAACUCUCUCUAAGGAACUCGGCAAAAUGACCCCGUAACUUCGGGAGAAGGGGUGCCGGCGCGAGCUGGUCGCAGUGAAUAGGCCCAGGCGACUGUUUACCAAAAACACAGGUCUCCGCUAAGUCGCAAGACGAUGUAUGGGGGCUGACGCCUGCCCAGUGCCGGAAGGUUAAAGAAGUUGGUCGGCGCAAGCGAAGCUAACGACUGAAGCCCCGGUGAACGGCGGCCGUAACAAUAACGGUCCUAAGGUAGCGAAAUUCCUUGUCGGGUAAGUUCCGACCCGCACGAAAGGCGUAACGAUCUGGGCACUGUCUCGGAGAGAGGCUCGGCGAAAUAGAAUUGUCUGUGAAGAUGCGGACUACGUGCACCCGGACAGAAAGACCCUAUGAAGCUUUACUGUAGCUUGGUAUUGUGCUCGGGCUCGCAAUGCGCAGGAUAGGUGGGAGGCUUUGAUCCAUUGCUUGUGGGUGAUGGUGAGCCACUGGUGAGAUACCACUCUUUGCGAGCUAGGGUUCUAACGGUUACCCGUCAUCCGGGAACCGGACAGUAUCUGGUGGGCAGUUUGACUGGGGCGGUCGCCUCCUAAAAGGUAACGGAGGCGCGCAAAGGUUUGCUCAGGCUGGUUGGAAAUCAGCCGACGAGUGUAAAAGCAGAAGCAAGCUUGACUGUGAGACCUACAAGUCGAACAGGGAGGAAACUCGGCUUUAGUGAUCCGACGGUUCUGAGUGGAAGGGCCGUCGCUCAACGGAUAAAAGUUACUCUAGGAUAACAGGCUGAUCUCCCCCAAGAGUUCACAUCGACGGGGAGGUUUGGCACCUCGAUGUCGGCUCAUCGCAACCUGGGGCUGAAGUCGGUCCCAAGGGUUGGGCUGUUCGCCCAUUAAAGCGGUACGCGAGCUGGGUUCAGAACGUCGUGAGACAGUUCGGUCCAUAUCCGGUGCAUGCGCAGGAAUAUUGAGAGGAUUUCUCCCUAGUACGAGAGGACCGGGAGGAACGCACCUCUGGUGUACCAGUUAUCGUGCCAACGGUAAACGCUGGGUAGCCAUGUGCGGAGUGGAUAACCGCUGAAAGCAUCUAAGUGGGAGGCCCACCUCAAGAUGAGUAUUCCCAUGGCUUAAGCCAGUAAGGUCACGGGAAGAACACCCGUUGAUAGGCUCUAUGUGGAAGCGCAGUAAUGCGUGAAGCAGAGGAGUACUAAUAGACCGAGGGCUUGACC